AGCUGACAGGAGCCUUAUCUCCUCGCUCGCACCCAUUUCCUCUCCUACCCAGCUCCGCCAUCGCCACGCACCCAUCUCCUCCCCUGCUCCCAGCCGGCGCCGUCCCGCCCCCAUCUCCCCCCGGGCUUCUGCCGUGCCGCGACGGCCGAUUCGGUGCACAACCGCCGUCAGCCUCCUGUCGCACGACCGCAGCAUCCAUGCCCACCGCCGCUGCUCUCUAUCCCCAACCUCCCACCAUCUCCCCGAGUCCACAAGUCAUCGUCGGGCCAACCCCGCGCGUCGUGUGCCUUCGCCACCCCAUCCGCCACCUCUGACCACCGCCGCCGCUCAUCAAAUGGAAGAUCCACCGUCGCCGCCUACUACGUCGACAGGUUCCUGAUCAUGGUGCUGUAAUUGCGCUCAUCCUCUAUGGGGUCCAUCAGAACUGAACUACAUAUUGUGAAAGGGCCUCAAGACCUUCCGAAAGCUGCACAAACAUGGCGCCAUCGAUCUUGGGGCUGACCAUUCAGAUGGCGGAGAGCCUCAUUAACACGGGCUUCUCCAGCCGUCGGAUGGCCACCCCCCAGCAUUCCUUCGUGCUCAUUGUAGUCACCCGCUCCGAGUCGCUCAACCUCAGGGCGGCCAUCGGUGCCACCAAGCUCGCCAGCACGCUCGUCUCGCUAGACGGCGCCAUGGUGAUCACCUUCUACAUAGGCGUGGUCUUCAGCUUCAUCCAGGUCACCGUGCAGCGCAACCUCACCGGCUAGACCAUCUCCAGCAAGUUCCAGAUCAUCACUUUCAUGUACUCCGUAAGAAACCAACCAACCAUCAUGCUUUUGAAUUGCUUGCUACAUUAUGCACAACAUGGCUUGCCACUGAUCGACUUUGAUUGAUUUUACCUGAAGUCGGGUUGUGGUCGCAUCUGGCAUGUCCUUCGUGAUGAUGCAUUCCUUCGUGAUGCUGACAUGGUGCAUCGACCCAUGACCUAGCCUGGUCAGUGGGAAAUUCUGACCACGCUAACCAGGUCAAGUACAUCAUGCUUGUGCUAAGAUUGACCAAUCCAUGUGGUUGUUCAUUCAUGGAACUAGUGAAUCAAAAAACAAAAUCAUAGAAGACCCAAAACUCAUGGAAUCGACCCAUAGAUUAUAUAAAAUAGCAUGUGGUUGUUGAAAAACAUACUCUGGAUAACUUAUAUAAAAAUAGCAUGGUAAUAUAUGAGCAACAUACUUGAUAACUUAGGUCAAACACCACGGUAACUCUGUCCAAGGAGGGGAACAAGUUGUUGAAAAACAUAGUCCCAGUAACUUAUGUGAAAAUAGCACAGUAAUUUAUGAACCGAUACCCGAUAACAUACAUAAAAACACCGAGGUAACUUUGAACAGUGGAAAAAUGUUAUUGAAAAUAUACCCUUGGUAGCUUUUGUGAAAAUAACAUGAUAAUAUAUGAACCAUAUACCUGAUAACUUAGGUACAAAUACCAUGGUAAAUUUGACCAAGAAGGGGAAAAAGUUCUUGAAAAACAUACUCCUAAUAACUUAUGUGAAAAUAACACGGUAAUGUACGAACCGCAUACCCGAUAAGUAUGUAUAAACACCGUGAGAACUUCGAGCAAGGAGGGGGAAAAGUUAUUGAAAAAUAUACCCCCAGUAAAUUAUGUGAAAAUAGCACGGUAAUACAUGAGCCGCAUACCCUAUAAGUUACUUACAAACACCAUGGUAAAUUUGAUCAAAGGGGAAAAUAUUUAAAAAACAUAUCCCGGUUACUUAUGUGAAAAUAGCACGGUAAUAUACGAACCACAUACCUGAUAACUUACAUAAGACACCACGUUAAAUUUAACCAAGGGUGAAAAAGUUGUUGAAAAAUACCCCUCAUUGACUCCUAUGUAAAUAACAUGGUAAUAUACGACCAACAAAGUUGAUAACUUAGGUGAAAAUAUUGUGGUAAUUUGCAUCUGAAAAGGAGGGAAGGGGAUGAUCAGGUUUGUGAACCGGCGUGAAACGUGCAGAAAAAAUGAUGGAACUAGGGCGUAUAGUCCUAAAACCCGGACAAAUGAGGCCACUGGUUUCGAUUUUCAAUUAUUGAGCGCUGUCUUUUUUUUCAAUCUCGUCUCAAGAAGAUAUGUAACUCCUGUGGAAUCAGCAAAGGGAGCUAGAGCAGCUGGGUGUUGUUGUUACAUUUAGUAUGGUAGGUUGUGGGUUCCAUGUAAAGUAAUUUUUUCAAUUAUGUAUGUAAAGUAAUUUUUAUAAUGAUAUAUUUAGUAUAUUUUGAAAUCCA
Molecule: non-coding RNA, 2252 nt
Organism: Aegilops tauschii subsp. strangulata
Lineage: Eukaryota; Viridiplantae; Streptophyta; Magnoliopsida; Poales; Poaceae
Source: RefSeq, a predicted model, not a curated record